This 254-nucleotide ribosomal RNA is filed under the name uncultured bacterium. RNAcentral's name for it is "partial 16S ribosomal RNA". It matches the Rfam family "Bacterial small subunit ribosomal RNA", at positions 524 to 776 of the family's 1533-position model. The record is from RNAcentral.
UACGUAGGGGGCGAGCGUUGUCCGGAUUCCUUGGGCGUAAAGAGCUCGUAGGCGGCUUGGCAAGUCGGGUGUGAAACCUCCAGGCUCAACCUGGAGACGCCACCCGAUACUGCUAUGGCUAGAGUCCGGUAGGGGACCACGGAAUUCCUGGUGUAGCGGUGAAAUGCGCAGAUAUCAGGAGGAACACCGGUGGCGAAGGCGGUGGUCUGGGCCGGCACUGACGCUGAGGAGCGAAAGCGUGGGGAGCGAACAGG